AUGUGAAUGCAGAAUUCAGUGAAUCAUCGAAUCUUUGAACGCACAUUGCGCCCUUUGGCAUUCCUCAGGGCAUGCCUGUUCGAGCGUCACU
Molecule: ribosomal RNA, 91 nt
Filed under: Tuber borchii (whitish truffle)
Lineage: Eukaryota; Fungi; Ascomycota; Pezizomycetes; Pezizales; Tuberaceae
Description: partial 5.8S ribosomal RNA
Rfam family: 5.8S ribosomal RNA
About the family: 5.8S ribosomal RNA (5.8S rRNA) is a component of the large subunit of the eukaryotic ribosome. It is transcribed by RNA polymerase I as part of the 45S precursor that also contains 18S and 28S rRNA. Functionally, it is thought that 5.8S rRNA may be involved in ribosome translocation.
Source: RNAcentral